GCUGCGGUUUAAUUGGACUCAACGCCGGGCAGCUCACCGGAUAGGACAGCGGAAUGAUAGCCGGGCUGAAGACCUUGCUUGACCAGCUGAGAGGAGGUGCAUGGCCGUCGUCAGUUCGUACUGUGAAGCAUCCUGUUUAGUCAGGCAACGAGCGAGACCCACGCCAACAGUUGCUAGCGCGUUCUCCGGAAUGAUGAGGACAAAUAUUGGGACCGCCUCUGCAGGGGAGGGGAGGGGAGGGGUGGGCAACGGUAGGUCAGCAUGCCCCGAAUUAUCCGGGCUACACGCGGGCUACAAUGGUCAGAACAAUGGGAGACGGCACUGAAAAGUGUAGUCAAUCUCCUAAACCUGUCCCAAGUUCGGAUUGUGGGCUGCAACUCGCCCACAUGAAGCUGGAAUCCGUAGUAAUCGCGUUUCAAAAUAGCGCGGUGAAUAAGUCCCUG
This 443-nucleotide ribosomal RNA is filed under the name uncultured methanogenic archaeon. Its description in RNAcentral is "bacterial SSU rRNA". It matches the Rfam family "Archaeal small subunit ribosomal RNA", at positions 894 to 1332 of the family's 1478-position model. The record is from RNAcentral. Lineage: Archaea; Methanobacteriati; Methanobacteriota.